RNAcentral lists this ribosomal RNA (1341 nucleotides) under uncultured bacterium. RNAcentral describes it as "partial 16S ribosomal RNA". It matches the Rfam family "Bacterial small subunit ribosomal RNA", at positions 28 to 1381 of the family's 1533-position model. The record is from RNAcentral.
GACGAACGUUGGCGGCGUGCUUAACACAUGCAAGUCGAACGGUAAGGCUCCAGCUUGCUGGGGUACACGAGUGGCGAACGGGUGAGUAACACGUGGGUGACCUGCCCUGCACUUCGGGAUAAGCCUGGGAAACUGGGUCUAAUACCGGAUAGGACCGCACCGUGAGGGUGUGGUGGAAAGUUUUUUCGGUGUGGGAUGGGCCCGCGGCCUAUCAGCUUGUUGGUGGGGUAAUGGCCUACCAAGGCGGCGACGGGUAGCCGGCCUGAGAGGGUGGACGGCCACAUUGGGACUGAGACACGGCCCAGACUCCUACGGGAGGCAGCAGUGGGGAAUAUUGCACAAUGGGCGGAAGCCUGAUGCAGCGACGCCGCGUGGGGGAUGGCGGCCUUCGGGUUGUAAACUCCUUUCACCAUCGACGAAGGGUUUCUGACGGUAGAUGGAGAAGAAGCACCGGCUAACUACGUGCCAGCAGCCGCGGUAAUACGUAGGGUGCGAGCGUUGUCCGGAAUUACUGGGCGUAAAGAGCUCGUAGGUGGUUUGUCGCGUCGUCUGUGAAAUUCCGGGGCUUAACUCCGGGCGUGCAGGCGAUACGGGCAUAACUUGAGUACUGUAGGGGAGACUGGAAUUCCUGGUGUAGCGGUGAAAUGCGCAGAUAUCAGGAGGAACACCGGUGGCGAAGGCGGGUCUCUGGGCAGUAACUGACGCUGAGGAGCGAAAGCAUGGGGAGCGAACAGGAUUAGAUACCCUGGUAGUCCAUGCCGUAAACGGUGGGCGCUAGGUGUGGGUUUCCUUCCACGGGAUCCGUGCCGUAGCUAACGCAUUAAGCGCCCCGCCUGGGGAGUACGGCCGCAAGGCUAAAACUCAAAGGAAUUGACGGGGGCCCGCACAAGCGGCGGAGCAUGUGGAUUAAUUCGAUGCAACGCGAAGAACCCUACCUGGGCUUGACAUAUACAGGAUCGCGCCAGAGAUGGUGUUUCCCUUGUGGCUUGUAUACAGGUGGUGCAUGGUUGUCGUCAGCUCGUGUCGUGAGAUGUUGGGUUAAGUCCCGCAACGAGCGCAACCCUUGUCUUAUGUUGCCAGCACGUUGUGGUGGGGACUCGUAAGAAACUGCCGGGGUUAACUCGGAGGAAGGUGGGGAUGACGUCAAAUCAUCAUGCCCCUUAUGUCCAGGGCUUCACACAUGCUACAAUGGUCGGUACAGUGGGUUGCCAGUCCGUGAGGGCGAGCUAAUCCCGCAAAGCCGGUCUCAGUUCGGAUCGGGGUCUGCAACUCGACCCCGUGAAGUCGGAGUCGCUAGUAAUCGCAGAUCAGCAACGCUGCGGUGAAUACGUUCCCGGGCCU